AUUGAACGCUGGCGGCAUGCCUUACACAUGCAAGUCGAACGGCAGCACGGGGCAACCUGGUGGCGAGUGGCGAACGGGUGAGUAAUGCAUCGGAACGUGCCAUUGAGUGGGGGAUAACGUAGCGAAAGUUGCGCUAAUACCGCAUAUUCUGUGAGCAGGAAAGCAGGGGGACCGCAAGGCCUUGCGCUCUUUGAGCGGCCGAUGUCGGAUUAGCUAGUUGGUGGGGUAAAGGCCUACCAAGGCGACGAUCCGUAGCGGGUCUGAGAGGAUGAUCCGCCACACUGGGACUGAGACACGGCCCAGACUCCUACGGGAGGCAGCAGUGGGGAAUUUUGGACAAUGGGCGCAAGCCUGAUCCAGCCAUGCCGCGUGAGUGAAGAAGGCC
RNAcentral lists this ribosomal RNA (385 nucleotides) under uncultured bacterium. RNAcentral describes it as "bacterial SSU rRNA". It matches the Rfam family "Bacterial small subunit ribosomal RNA", at positions 29 to 416 of the family's 1533-position model. The record is from RNAcentral.